Molecule: ribosomal RNA, 869 nt
Filed under: uncultured archaeon
Lineage: Archaea
Description: bacterial SSU rRNA
Rfam family: Archaeal small subunit ribosomal RNA
Source: RNAcentral
CUCCGGGUUGAUCCCGCCGGACCCGACUGCUAUCAGAGUGGGACUAAGCCAUGCGAGUCAACAUAGCAAUAUGUGGCAUACGGCUCAGUAACACGUAGUCAACAUGCCCAGGGGACGUGGAUAACCUCGGGAAACUGAGGAUAAACCGCGAUAGGUCAUCACUUCUGGAAUGGGUAAUGACUUAAAUCUAUAUGGCCCCUGGAUUGGACUGCGGCCGAUCAGGCUGUUGGUGAGGUAAUGGCCCACCAAACCUGUAACCGGUACGGGCUCUGAGAGGAGGAGCCCGGAGAUGGGCACUGAGACAAGGGCCCAGGCCCUAUGGGGCGCAGCAGGCGCGAAACCUCUGCAAUAGGCGAAAGCUUGACAGGGUUACUCUGAGUGAUUUCCGUUAAGGAGAUCUUUUGGCACCUCUAAAAAUGGUGCAGAAUAAGGGGUGGGCAAGUCUGGUGUCAGCCGCCGCGGUAAUACCAGCACCCCGAGUGGUCGGGACGUUUAUUGGGCCUAAAGCAUCCGUAGCCGGUUCUACAAGUCUUCCGUUAAAUCCACCUGCUUAACAGAUGGGCUGCGGAAGAUACUAUAGAGCUAGGAGGCGGGAGAGGCAAGCGGUACUCGAUGGGUAGGGGUAAAAUCCGUUGAUCCAUUGAAGACCACCAGUGGCGAAGGCGGCUUGCCAGAACGCGCUCGACGGUGAGGGAUGAAAGCUGGGGGAGCAAACCGGAUUAGAUACCCGGGUAGUCCCAGCUGUAAACGAUGCAGACUCGGUGAUGAGUUGGCUUAUUGCUAACUCAGUGCCGCAGGGAAGCCGUUAAGUUUGCCGCCUGGGGAGUACGGUCGCAAGACUGAAACUUAAAGGAAUGGCCGGGGGAGCA